AGAGUUUGAUCCUGGCUCAGGAUGAAUGCUGGCGGUGUGCCUUAAGCAUGCAAGUCGAGCGAUCCGCCUCGGCGGAUAGCGGCAGACGGGUGAGUAACACGUAGGAAUCUACCUCAAACUGGGGAAUAGCCCUCCGAAAGGAGGGGUAAUACCGCAUGUGUCCGCAAGGAUAAAGCAGCAAUGCGGUUUGAGAGGAGCCUGCGCACUAUCAGCUAGUUGGUGGGGUAAUGGCCUACCAAGGCUAUGACGGUUAACCGAUGUGAGAGCAUGAUCGGUCACAAGGUCACUGAGACACGGGACCUACACCUACGGGUGGCAGCAACUGGGAAUCUUGCGCAAUGGGCGAAAGCCUGACGCAGCGACACCGCGUGUGGGAAGAAGCAUUUAGGUGUGUAAACCACUGUGGCGAGGGAACAAUCUAUGAGGGUACCUCGCUAGAAAGCACCUGCUAACUACGUGCCAGAAGCCUCGGUAAUACGUAGGGUGCAAGCAUUAUCCGGAUUUACUGGGCGUAAAGUGUAUCGUCGGCGUUGAGGUAAGUUGCUUGUUUAAGCCUAGGGCUCAACUCUAGAUCAGCAAGCAAAACUAUCACAAUUGAGUAUGUUCGAGGGAACUGGAACACUCGGUGGAGGGGUGAAAUCCGUAGAUAUCGAGUGGAACACCAAUGGCGAAGGCAGGUUCCUAGGGCAUUACUGACGCUCAUGAACGACAGCUAGGGUAGCAAAAGGGAUUAGAGACCCCUGUAGUCCUAGCCGUAAACUAUGGAUGCUAGAUGGCCCCGCUCUGCGGGUCUGUCGUAAGCUAACGCGUUAAGCAUCCCGCCUGGGGAUUACGACCGCAAGGUUAAAACUCAAAGGAAUUGACGGGGGAGCGCACAACCGGUGGAGCAUGUGGUUUAAUUCGAGACGAAGCGAAAAACCUUACCCAGACUUGACAUGUACCUGCACGAUUAGGGAAACUUAAUCUUCUUCGAGAGUGGUACACAGGUGAUGCAUGGCUGUCGUCAGCUCGUGUCGUGAGGCGUCCGCUUAAGUGCGGUAACGAGCGCAACCCUUGUCCCGAGUUAUAAGUGUCUCGGGAGACUGCCCUGCGUAUAGCAGGGAGGAAGGAGAGGACGACGUCAAGUCAGCAUGUCCCUUACGUCUGGGGCUACACACAUCCUACAAUGGAGCCGACAACGGGUUGCGACAGGGUAACCUCGAGCUAAUCCUUAUAAACGGCCCCUCAGUUCAGAUUGAGGGCUGCAAUUCGCCCUCAUGAAGUUGGAAUCGGUAGUAAUCGCAGGUCAGCAGACUGCGGUGAAUACGUUCUCGCUCCUUGUACACACUGCCCGUCAAGUCAGCAAAGUUGGCAGCGCCCGAAGCGGAUGAUCCUAACUCGCAAGAGAUGGACUCUUCUACGGUGAGGUCAGCGAUGAGGACUAAGUCGUAACAAGGUAACC
This 1441-nucleotide ribosomal RNA is filed under the name uncultured bacterium. Its description in RNAcentral is "bacterial SSU rRNA". It matches the Rfam family "Bacterial small subunit ribosomal RNA". The record is from RNAcentral.